Long non-coding RNA from Catharus ustulatus (Swainson's thrush), 3395 nucleotides. RefSeq lists it as uncharacterized. The record is from RefSeq and is a predicted model, not a curated record. Lineage: Eukaryota; Metazoa; Chordata; Aves; Passeriformes; Turdidae. The transcript is spliced from 2 exons.
AGUAAGAGAGAAAAAGUCAACUAGUAUAGGAAAUUUCUAAGUAACACUUCAGCUAUUUUUUGAAGUGACAGGUGAAAAAUGUUUAAAAAUUGACGUAGGGAUGUCAUUCUGUGAAACUCCAUGGGAUUCUUAACAUGCAUUAUUCACAAGGGAGUUCUGAAGAGGUACUUGUCACACUUUGUGUAACGCAUAAAUUUGGAAGGAAAAGCAGACCAGGAGCUGGAGGUUUAGUACCACAGAUGUACAUGUAUAGAGAAGUAUAAAAGAAUUUGGAUUGAAAAGGACUUCUGGAGGUCAUCCAGUCCAAACUGCUGCUUCAAGCAGGGCUGACUUCUAAGUUGUUAAAUCAGGUUGCUCUGGAGCUUGCUUUAUACACCACAUUUUAAAUCCAACUUACAAAGAAACCUUUUCAUCAAAACUGGAAUGCAAUUUUCAGUCUGAAAAAGUUAAGCACAGUGCCAUCCCACUGUAAGGAGUCCAUUAGGAUAAAAGUAUUCCAGAACUUUGCUGUGUGAACAGUGAAAUGAAACACUUCCUCUUUACCACUUUCAAUCAAACAGGCACCUGGAUUCCAAGCAAACACUUUGGCCAGAAUUCUCCUCAUCUAAUUUCCAGCAUGUGGUCUUGUUGUGUCAUUUAGGCUACCAAUGGUUGGCAGAGAGCUCCAAGGAUCAAGUGGAUGAAGGCCUCUUCAAUGAAAAGAAGCCUCAAUACCAACCUACUGAGACAUCAUGCCCAAAUUUUAGAUAACUUAAAGCUGGACAAGGUGUUCUGAGUUUUGGUCAAAAUAGCUCUAGAGGUUGUGCACUGAGUCAAAAGACAAGGAAAUGAGACCCCAAGCAAAGCACAGCACUCUAAUCACAGGCUCACAGCUGUUCUGCUACAUCCAGUUUAAUCAGCCCAGUGAAUGAUUGAGCAUAGUAUUGCUGUAACUCUGCUCCCCUUUGACAACCACACUAAUGGAAUGUUCAAUAUCUACCUUAAAUGGCUUGGUAAAAUUAAAUGCAACAAUAAAACCAAAAACCCAUAAGCUAAAACAAUAGCACAUAUAAAAGAAUUACUCCUGCAUAGGGGAGAAUUUGAAAAUUCAGCCAAGUGGAAGAACACAGCAUUCAAGCCGCAAGAUAGUUUUUAAGACUAACAGUAAACUCUGAGUUCCAAGAGAGACAUUUACAGUACAUCACAGACUUGAAAAUACGUGAAUGCUUUUCAGUAGAGACACUAUUGGAGGUCUGAAUGAGACCCACAUAAGGCUCUUGUCCCUUUCUGGGAGGCAUCUCAAUGUGGCCGCUACUGGAUACAGAAAGUAGAUUGGAUAAGCUAUUCUGACAUGCCUAGACAAAUCCUCCUGUACAAAUACACCUCCAGAUUUAAUAUUUAUAUCAACACCUGUCAUUCAAGCAAACAAUUUCUGUAGUUCUUAUGUUUGUUAAUUUAAAAUGCCAUAGAAUUAAAAAUAAAUGAUAAAAUAUUGGCCAGUGAGCUCCCCAGAGGCCUGCAAGUACCCAGGCAUUCUGCCACGGGUCGGUGUGUGCCACAGCCCCCAGCAGAAUUCACUGUUUCUGUAGAAAGGCUCUAACCCAGGCUUACACAGCAAAUACCCCAUCACAAAAAUGCCUGCUUGGGUCUUUUUGCUCUCCAGGAAACUCCAAACAUUAGCACAAGCUGGCAUUUUGGUUUCUUAGCUAUAGCUGUGGAGUGGGGAGUUGAUGCCAAGAAAUCCGUUGAGAGCCAUCAACACAAAAAAAAGCUUUUCUGGCAGGCAUUUCCAGGCUGUUGGUAAUUCCUUUUUUUUUUUUUUUCCUUUGGUUUUCCCCAAUACUCGACACUCCUCCAAAUACUGAAAAUACUGAAAUUUUGCUGGCUUAAAGGAAUAGAAAUCUCACACUAUCUUUUAAAAACAUGACUGCUGAAUUCAUGCAGGUUCCAGCAAUGCAGAAUUUCAUAUCCAAGCCAUUUGCAUUAUAUGGCUGAAACAUGCUGUUUUACAUCCACAGUCAUCCUUUUCAGAGGCUGGUAUCAUUAUCCCCAUUUUUCAAAUGCUGAAGCAAAGAGAAUUUAGGUAACUUGGCACAGAGUCAGUUGAGUAAAGCUGCGCUACAACCUAACUGGAGCUCACUAAAACCUAGUUGGUUUGGCAAGUAUUGGACACUUUCACACCUCAUUUACAAUGUAUCUUUAGCUCUACUUUUAUACUCCAAACAAGAAAAAAUAAUUUUCCUAAGUAACAAGAGCCCCAAGAGCUCUGCUGGAGAAUGAUGAGACAGACACACAUGGCUCUUGGAAGCUCCUGGACAGUGCUCUCCACACAGGAUGUGAUGCUUGGGCUGGUCCUUGCAGAGCCAGGAGCUGGACUUCUUGGAUGGUCCUUGUAGGUCCCCUCCAACUCAGGAUAAUCUGUGAUUCCACAGCCCCUGUGUACUGCUCUGCCAGUGUCCUCUGUCCUUCACGUGCUGUGAUGGGUGCCAGGCCUGGCUGCCAUGACCUGGCUGUGUGCAUGUCUGGCCUCUGCAGAGAUUCAGGUUCUUCAAACCCUGGGGCUCCGCUUAACUGCUUUGGUUUCUACAUCUGAUGGUUAUUUCAAUAGGUUACCUUUCUUAAAUAAAGGACUGGAAUUAAGAACAGAGGGGCUGUGGUGUGUUAGUUUGUGCUGUGGCCAACGUGGCCAAACAUCUGUGAUUUCAAUUGUGAAGCUGACCCCUGUCCAAAAGUAUUUUAUAUUCAUCCCAAAUGCAGUGGUUGGAGCACUGGGCAGGUGGCCACCCACAUCUACACCUAAAAAACUCUGUCCCUGAAAACACUUAGAAAAACAAAGGCUGUUCUAUAAACUGCAUCAUGAAAUAAGGAUACUCUGGGGAAGAACCCCACAUGUUUCCUGAUUUUGGUCACACUUUUAUAUAGGGCUUUCAUUGCAUUUUGCAGUUUUGCAGACUCAGUGGUACCAGACUGCAAAAUGCAAUAUGAAAUAUGAAGAAGUUAAAUACACUUGAUGCACAGAUUACAAAUCUAGAAGGCAUUGCUAUGAUUAUCUAGUCUGCUGCCUAUAUAGCAUGGGCCAUAGAACUUCCUAGAAUUAAUUUCUGUGUGGUUUUAUUAAUUGCUACUGUGAUUUUAAAAAAAUGCAUCCAGCAUCUCCAGUCAUGGGGAAUCCAUCUUAGCCCUUAGUCUCUUGUUUCACUAUUUAUUAACUCUCUCAAUAUUAAAAAUGUGGUCUUGACUUCAAAUCUGAAUUUGUUUAGUUUUGUUACAUCCAAGUCUGCUCAAACCAAUGGUCUUUGGUCACCUUUCAUUGCCCAGGUAAAUGCUUACAGACUAUGAUCAAGGCAUCUCUUACAAUACCAAUUGCUUGAAAGUGCUUUAUCUUUCAAUAAAGGACGUAUUUGCCAGAAUUUUGA